RNAcentral lists this non-coding RNA (87 nucleotides) under unclassified sequences. The record is from RNAcentral.
UAAUAACUGCCACCGGGUAGUGAAUGUUUUGCAUUUGUUUUCACAUCAUUAGGUCUAAGAAGAUGUGAUCACGGAUGCAUUUUUUUC